CUGGGACUGAGACACGGCCCACACUCCUACGGGAGGCAGCAGUGGGGAAUUUUGGACAAUGGGCGGAAGCCUGAUCCAGCAAUGCCGCGUGAGUGAAGAAGGCCUUCGGGUUGUAAAGCUCUUUCAGUCGAGAAGAAAAGGCUAUGCCAAAUAAGUAUAGUUAAUGACGGUAUCGAAAGAAGAAGCACCGGCUAACUACGUGCCAGCAGCCGCGGUAAUACGUAGGGUGCAAGCGUUAAUCGGAAUUACUGGGCGUAAAGGGUGCGCAGGCGGUACUGUAAGUCAGAUGUGAAAUCCCCGGGCUUAACCUGGGAAUUGCGUU
RNAcentral lists this ribosomal RNA (322 nucleotides) under uncultured bacterium. RNAcentral describes it as "bacterial SSU rRNA". It matches the Rfam family "Bacterial small subunit ribosomal RNA", at positions 313 to 627 of the family's 1533-position model. The record is from RNAcentral.